This 447-nucleotide ribosomal RNA is filed under the name uncultured Rickettsiaceae bacterium. RNAcentral describes it as "bacterial SSU rRNA". It matches the Rfam family "Bacterial small subunit ribosomal RNA", at positions 29 to 505 of the family's 1533-position model. Lineage: Bacteria; Pseudomonadati; Pseudomonadota; Alphaproteobacteria; Rickettsiales; Rickettsiaceae. The record is from RNAcentral.
AACGAACGCUGGUGGUAUGCUUAACACAUGCAAGUCGAACGAACGAACCUGAAGCUUGCUUCAGGCUAGUGAGUGGCAAACGGGUGAGUAACACGUGGGAAUCUACCCGUCAGUACGGAAUAACCCUUGGAAACAAGAGCUAAUACCGUAUAUUCUCUUCGGAGGAAAGAUUUAUCGCUGACGGAUGAGCCCGCGCAAGAUUAGGUAGUUGGUAGGGUAAUGGCCUACCAAGCCGACGAUCUUUAGCUGGUCUGAGAGGAUGAUCAGCCACACUGGGACUGAGACACGGCCCAGACUCCUACGGGAGGCAGCAGUGGGGAAUAUUGGACAAUGGGCGAAAGCCUGAUCCAGCAAUACCACGUGAAUGAUGAAGGCCUUAGGGUUGUAAAGUUCUUUUAGUAGGGAAGAUAAUGACGGUACCUACAGAAAAAGCCCCGGCUAACUCCG